Molecule: long non-coding RNA, 226 nt
Filed under: Strix occidentalis caurina (northern spotted owl)
Lineage: Eukaryota; Metazoa; Chordata; Aves; Strigiformes; Strigidae
Description: lncRNA (ENSSOCG00000017005.1)
Source: RNAcentral
GAGCUAGCCUGAGCAAUUUUGAGUUUUGUUCAGUGGAGGGACUGCUGUAUGUCAGCCAUGCUAAAGGGCAAGUGAUGGAGAUAAGCAUGAGAUCACCGUGGCACAGCUGCAUGUGUAGUCACUCUUGAAGCAAUUGCACACCUAAUUGGCUGACAAUCUUGGCAUUUUUAAAGCAAACACAAGCCUUUUAAAGACAGGGGACGUAUUUAUGUAUGAAUAGUCAAAU